UACGUAGGGGUCGAGCGUUGUCCGGACUUACUGGGCGUAAAGCGUGGGUAGGUGGUCGGUGAUGUGCCGUGUGAAAGCCCCGCGUUCAUCGGGGGGAGGUCGCGGUAGACACAUUGACUUGAGGCAUACAGAGGGCCGUGGAAUUCCCGGUGUAGUGGUGAAAUGCGUAGAUAUCAGGAGGAACACCGAUUGCGAAGGCAGCUCGCUGGGACGUUACUGACGCUGAGACGCGAAAGCGUGGGGAGCGAACGGG
RNAcentral lists this ribosomal RNA (253 nucleotides) under uncultured bacterium. RNAcentral's name for it is "partial 16S ribosomal RNA". It matches the Rfam family "Bacterial small subunit ribosomal RNA", at positions 524 to 776 of the family's 1533-position model. The record is from RNAcentral.